UGGAUUUCAGUAGCAUCCACU
This 21-nucleotide microRNA is filed under the name Schistosoma japonicum. RNAcentral describes it as "sja-miR-3493". Lineage: Eukaryota; Metazoa; Platyhelminthes; Trematoda; Strigeidida; Schistosomatidae. The record is from miRBase by way of RNAcentral.